GUGUGAAUUGCAGAAUUCCGCGAAUCAUCGAGUCUUUGAACGCAAGUUGCGCCCGAGGCUUGACCAAGGGCAUUUCUGCCAGAGCGUCACCGCGACACCCACCAAACACACUUUUUCCUUCCAAGUGAAAGUGUGUUCGAGUGAAAGUGGCCAUCCGAAUGCGGCCGCGCCCAAGUGGCGCGGAAGAUUGGGUUGGCUGAAAUAGAGCGGGAUUUGGCCGCCGUGUUGACCCUACAACCAGCGAUCAGGUGAUCUAGGUGCAAACUUUGAACUCAAACGUGCGCUGGUUGCCAUCAUCCAGUUGGCCGGACCCAAAACCUAGCAGGUCUCCUACUUCCGGCACUCCGGCCGGCCCAAAAUGCCGCCGAUACCGGAAAAAUAGGAGGGACCCUAACCCGUCCACCGUCACGCAUCAGACCUCUGAUCAGAAAAGACUACCCGCUGAGUUUAA
Molecule: ribosomal RNA, 451 nt
Filed under: Syntrichia ruralis
Lineage: Eukaryota; Viridiplantae; Streptophyta; Bryopsida; Pottiales; Pottiaceae
Description: eukaryotic LSU rRNA
Rfam family: 5.8S ribosomal RNA (bases 1-89)
Source: RNAcentral